RNAcentral lists this long non-coding RNA (991 nucleotides) under Equus caballus (horse). Its description in RNAcentral is "lncRNA (ENSECAG00000044147.1)". The record is from RNAcentral. Lineage: Eukaryota; Metazoa; Chordata; Mammalia; Perissodactyla; Equidae.
CAUAGAGGCCAUGACUGGGGAGGGUUGGGCGACAGAGAAACGAAAGAUAAUAGGAGUAGGGAUGUGGAAGUGGGACAGCAGGAAUGGAUACAAAGUGGUGUAAUAGUCUGGAAAGGAUUGGAAUGCAGGGCAGUAUCUUAAGAAUCCCAGGCUCAUUCUGUUUCAUUGAGAGAAAAUUUCCUAGCAACAAAUCAUCCCAGCAUCUCAGGUCUUCUAUCUACGCUGAAAUGUUAAUGCAAUGAACCACAAGGAGUGUGGUUUCAAAAUUGAUGGGCUAGCAACACAAACUGGGAAUUCUUUUGUUUAUUUAAAUUUCUAUGACAAGGAGAUUUGACCAGGGUGAGUUUAUGAUCCUUGGCACCUUCACAAAAGCACGAUCUGGAUAUUUUUCUUCUAGACACUGUUUAUCUAAUUGACAGAUAUUAACAUUGUAAACAUUUUAGAGGAGACGCUCUGGUGGAUGUUGGGGAAAUAGAGGAAGAGGACCAGCCACUGCUCUCAAGGAUCUCAGACCCAUAUGUGAUCGAUGACAACGCAGCAAGUGUGUCAACAGAAAACUGAUCCCAAAAAGGCCCAGAGGGUAAAAGCCUGACUCUUCCAGAAAGUUUCAGGGAGGAAGUGCUAUGGCUGACUAUUGCAAGAAGAUUCAGAUGGAAGGGGAAGAUAAGGAAGGACAUUCCCGGCAGAAGGGACAGCUUGGCCAAGGGCGUAGCAUUAAGGAGAGAGCAGGUUUUGACAAGUUGCUGUCAAAAGAAGGGUUAAGUCCACAGAUUUCAUUGUAAUUCCUGGCACAGAGUUUGAGGUACCGCUAUCUGCAAAGGGGACCAAACAGAUGACUUGCCCAGGAAUUUGGGGGAGAGCCUGAAGCCAUCUCCUGUAAUCGUAGCAUCUCAUUAAAAAAUUCUGAUUUAUUGUAAAAAUCUAUUUGAACUUGUGUCUAAUCCAUUUUUGUAUGUGUUCUUGGUUUUCAAAUAAAAAUGUUUUAAAUUAA